This 429-nucleotide ribosomal RNA is filed under the name Gemmatimonadota bacterium. RNAcentral describes it as "Gemmatimonadetes bacterium partial 16S ribosomal RNA". It matches the Rfam family "Bacterial small subunit ribosomal RNA", at positions 355 to 776 of the family's 1533-position model. Lineage: Bacteria; Pseudomonadati; Gemmatimonadota. The record is from RNAcentral.
UAGGGAAUCUUCGGCAAUGGACGAAAGUCUGACCGAGCAACGCCGCGUGAGUGAAGAAGGUUUUCGGAUCGUAAAACUCUGUUGUUAGAGAAGAACAAGGACGUUAGUAACUGAACGUCCCCUGACGGUAUCUAACCAGAAAGCCACGGCUAACUACGUGCCAGCAGCCGCGGUAAUACGUAGGUGGCAAGCGUUUUCCGGAUUUAUUGGGCGUAAAGCGAGCGCAGGCGGUUUCUUAAGUCUGAUAUGAAGGCCCCCGGCUCAACCGGGGAGGGUCAUUGGAAACUGGGAGACUUGAGUGCAGAAGAGGAGAGUGGAAUUCGUUGUGUAGCGGUGAAAUGCGUAGAGAUAUGGAGGCACACGAGUGGGGAAGGCGGCUCUCUGGUCUGUACCUGACGCUAAGGCUGGAAAGCGUGGGAAGCAAACAGG